UAUUGGAUUUCUAACCCGCAGCACUUAUCGUGCUGGGAGACAGUGUCAGGCGGGCAGUUUGACUGGGGCGGUCGCCUCCUAAAAAGUAACGGAGGCGCUCAAAGGUUCCCUCAGAAUGGUUGGAAAUCAUUCAUAGAGUGUAAAGGCAUAAGGGAGCUUGACUGCGAGACCUACAAGUCGAGCAGGGUCGAAAGACGGACUUAGUGAUCCGGUGGUUCCGCAUGGAAGGGCCAUCGCUCAACGGAUAAAAGCUACCCCGGGGAUAACAGGCUUAUCUCCCCCAAGAGUUCACAUCGACGGGGAGGUUUGGCACCUCGAUGUCGGCUCAUCGCAUCCUGGGGCUGUAGUCGGUCCCAAGGGUUGGGCUGUUCGCCCAUUAAAGCGGUACGCGAGCUGGGUUCAGAACGUCGUGAGACAGUUCGGUCCCUAUCCGUCGUGGGCGUAGGAAAUUUGAGAGGAGCUGUCCUUAGUACGAGAGGACCGGGAUGGACAUACCUCUGGUGUACCAGUUGUCGUGCCAACGGCAUAGCUGGGUAGCUAUGUAUGGACGGGAUAAGUGCUGAAAGCAUCUAAGCAUGAAGCCCCCCUCGAGAUGAGAUUUCCCAACUUCGGUUAUAAGAUCCCUCAAAGAUGAUGAGGUGAAUAGGUUCGAGGUGGAAGCGUAGCGAUACGUGGAGCUGACGAAUACUAAUCGAUCGAAGACUUAAUCAAAA
RNAcentral lists this ribosomal RNA (713 nucleotides) under Staphylococcus delphini. Its description in RNAcentral is "partial 23S ribosomal RNA". It matches the Rfam family "Bacterial large subunit ribosomal RNA", at positions 2212 to 2925 of the family's 2925-position model. The record is from RNAcentral. Lineage: Bacteria; Bacillati; Bacillota; Bacilli; Caryophanales; Staphylococcaceae.